GUGCCGCCGGCUGGGUACUGCCGCGGUGAUCGCCGGACUGCCGCACGCAAGGGGCGUCGCCAUCGAAGCUGCCUCGUUCAUCCCUGCCCAGUCGCAGUUCUGCCACCCAUCACCCUAUUCCGUCGCUGGAGAUCUCGGAGCCGCUGCUCGUUGCGCCGUCCUUGUCGCCGCCACUGCUUCCAUCUCUUCCAACGGCGCUGCUACCGCCAUCGUGAGUCGCCGCCAAAGAGGAAGCGUUGCAGCAACUGAAUCCCGAGAGGGACAGGUUCACGAGACGGGAGAGAGAGCUGCAGGGAGAGGGAGGCCGUGCGUCCUGUCGCGCGCGUCGCUGCCCAAGGACCGCCGCUGAUUCGUGCUGCGCGAAGCUAACGCUGCCGUUCCUACCGCCGGCAAGCCUCGGUUAGCACUACCGAAGCUCCGGCCAUCACCGUCGUUGAGGAAGCUCAUCGGAGUUGCUGGAGGCUGCCGCCGCUCUGCCUGGUUCUGUGUUGAGUCGCGCCGCCGUGCCUAGCUGCCGGAAAACCUCGCUGCCGCUGCUGGAGAACUCUGUCGAUGACCCACUAGAGCUUCUGGGCACCGCCGGAGCUGCUGCCGGGCCGGUUCGAAAUCACAGCUGCUUCGUGUUGAAAUUCUGAGCUGAUUAUGCUGCUGCGAAUAUGUGUGGGGCUGUGCUUUGAAGCUGCCUUUGAUUUUGAGUUGAGGCGAAAAGAACUUAUGAGGCGCUUGGAUUAUGGAAUUGCGUUUGAGGAUAUGGGCGCUGAAGUCAUGAAGGGUGUAUUUAAUUGUUGUUGUGAUGCUCUGUAUUGUUUCAGUUAUGGUUUAUUGUACCCUCGCCUUUAUCUUGAUAUAUUUUGUAAGAGGGAUAGGAAUUGUAUUGGUUAAUGCUUGUAAUAUUAUUUAUAUAUAUGUAUGUAUAUAUAUGGAUGUACUCCUUAUGAGUUUCUGUAAGUUGUAUGGUAUGUACGGAUGUUCGUUGUAUAGCAAAAGUAUUUUUGGGAGCGAUAUUGCGGUUUAAAGUUUUAAA
Arachis duranensis is the source of this 1024-nucleotide long non-coding RNA. RefSeq lists it as uncharacterized. The record is from RefSeq and is a predicted model, not a curated record. Lineage: Eukaryota; Viridiplantae; Streptophyta; Magnoliopsida; Fabales; Fabaceae. The transcript has 4 exons.